GUGGGGAAUCUUGCGCAAUGGGCGAAAGCCUGACGCAGCCAUGCCGCGUGAGCGAUGAAGGCCUUAGGGUUGUAAAGCUCUUUCAGCUGGGAAGAUAAUGACUGUACCAGCAGAAGAAGCCCCGGCUAACUCCGUGCCAGCAGCCGCGGUAAUACGGAGGGGGCUAGCGUUGUUCGGAAUUACUGGGCGUAAAGCGCACGUAGGCGGACCGGAAAGUCAGAGGUGAAAUCCCAGGGCUCAACCUUGGAACUGCCUUUGAAACUCCUGGUCUUGAGGUCGAGAGAGGUGAGUGGAAUUCCGAGUGUAGAGGUGAAAUUCGUAGAUAUUCGGAGGAACACCAGUGGCGAAGGCGGCUCACUGGCUCGAUACUGACGCUGAGGUGCGAAAGCGUGGGGAGCAAACAGGAUUAGAAACCCCUGUAGUCC
This 425-nucleotide ribosomal RNA is filed under the name uncultured bacterium. Its description in RNAcentral is "partial 16S ribosomal RNA". It matches the Rfam family "Bacterial small subunit ribosomal RNA", at positions 354 to 796 of the family's 1533-position model. The record is from RNAcentral.